This 238-nucleotide ribosomal RNA is filed under the name uncultured Candidatus Scalindua sp. Its description in RNAcentral is "partial 16S ribosomal RNA". It matches the Rfam family "Bacterial small subunit ribosomal RNA", at positions 565 to 803 of the family's 1533-position model. Lineage: Bacteria; Pseudomonadati; Planctomycetota; Candidatus Brocadiia; Candidatus Brocadiales; Candidatus Scalinduaceae. The record is from RNAcentral.
GAGCACGUAGGUGGGUUUGUAAGUCAGAUGUGAAAGCCUUCUGUUCAACGGGAGAAUUGCAUCUGAAACUGCUAAUCUUGAGUAUAGGAGGGGAGAAUGGAACUUCUGGUGGAGCGGUGAAAUGCGUAGAUAUCAGAAGGAACGCCGGCGGCGAAAGCGAUUCUCUGGCCUAUUACUGACACUCAGUGUGCGAAAGCUAGGGGAGCAAACGGGAUUAGAUACCCCGGUAGCUAGCUGU